UAUCCAAAAUAAAGAAAAGAGUAAAGUUUUUUAUCUCAUGAAAGAGAUAAAAAUUCUCUUUUCGCAACGAGAUUAAUAGCGGGUAUUGAAAAUGAGCGUCUCGUUUGAUAGUCGAUAUUAUAUAGUUAUUGAGGAAAAAUCGCGCGCGAGCCGCCCGAAUUACGCUUUCGUUAUCGUAAACAAAUAAAUAAUUUAUCUUCUCGCACGAAUGUGGCUCUUGCACCCAAGUCGCACUCAACUUGCGUGAGCUCAGCCUUCUUAUCCCUUAUGAUUAGUAUUAUUUAACAUUUAAAAGUCAUUAUGGAAGAUUGAAGUGCACCGCCGACAUGUCUCUCGCGUGCCUCCCUGUUUAAUUAAUCUCUCAUUCGUUUCAAUUAAUUAAAUCUCACAAAAGAAGAACGGUCGACUUAAGAAGGAUUAAUGUAAAAUUAAUUCUAAUCUUAAAAAUUGGAAUUAUUGAAAAAUUUUGGUUUUAUCUUUCUUUUACUUAAAAAAUUUAUUGUGGUUUUCAGAAUGAAACGCGACAAGAGGGAAUGUCACAGAAUUCAAUUCCUUAGUAUGGGAUUGGAAAUCGCUAUAUUUACAGUAACGCGAUAUCAUGGAAGACGACUGAUAUCACUUAUGGAAGGUCCAAAAUGUUAUCGACGCCUACGGGUCAUCGAUAAGAGCGCAAGUCGCUAUGCGAUUUAUAGGGAAGCACUGUUUUUAAGCUAAGAGGUGAAAAUAUUGCCUCGCGUGGUGUUACUGCCUUUGGCAUUGCGUGGACACGCAGUAUCGAGCGGGACUGAGCACGUCAUCAAAAAAUUAGCAAAAACAAUAGAUUUCGGUACUGUACGGUCGCACUUGUUGAGCAAACAAUCUCCGUGCGCCUGGGAAGAUAUACAUUUGGCACUGGAUUUUCUCUCUCCCUCUCUUUCACACUUCUCUUCGAGGAAAGAUCUCUUCAACUCUCUUCGUAAUGACGCGACGUGCAUCGAACUCUCGAUUUUGAAUCAAUCGCAAAAAAGUAAAAAUUAUAAACAUCAAGAAAAAUUAAAUUAAUUCUUCGCUGGACGAUUCGCUGGAGAAACUAAACGUCUAUGAUCGAAAAGAAAAGAAGAAAGGGGAUAUCGACAGGGCCGAAGGAAUCGAACAGUCCUCUCUCUUCGAGAUCACGAGGAG
Long non-coding RNA from Acromyrmex echinatior (Panamanian leafcutter ant), 1161 nucleotides. The record is from RefSeq and is a predicted model, not a curated record. NCBI's taxonomy places the organism in Eukaryota, Metazoa, Arthropoda, Insecta, Hymenoptera, Formicidae.